CCUGAGCGCGGGGCGCCCGCGCGGCCAGUAAUCCCAGCGACUCGGGAGGCUGGGGCAGGAGAUCGCAAGUUCGAGGCCAACAAGGAGACCCUGUCUCAAAAUAAAACAUUAAGGGGGCUGGGGAUGGUCCUUAGCGGUAUGGAGCCCCUGGUUUCAAUCCUCUGUAUUCCGUACCCCCAAAAGAAGAGAGAAAGAAGGGCCCCUGAACGACCCGCCCAGAGCGGAGGCGGGAGCGGCAGCGGAGUGUGCUCAAUGCUGUUGCCCUUGGCGUCCAGACCCUUCGCGGACACUGCGAAUCCCAGAAUCCCAGGGAGAGAGAGGGCUUGUUCACAUCACUCCCGAAAGACGCACGAAGGCGACAUUCUGGAAUUAGGUUCAUGAAACAUCUGGAAGCCUCUAGACCUUAGUGUGUGACCCUGAUGGUGCUAAUACUGUGCUAAACUGAUUUUUUCUUUAAUUUUUUUUUUUUUUGUAUUGGAGAUUGACCCCAGGGGUGCUUUAUUAUUGAGCUACAUCCCCAGCCCUUUUUAAAAUUUUGAGACAGGGCAUCACUAAAUUGCUUAGAGCCUCGCUAAGUUGUUGAGGCUAACCUUGAACUUGCCAUCCUCCUGCCUCAGCCUCCUGAUUUGCUAGGAUUCCCAGCAUGCAGCACCGUGCCCAGUGCUAUAUUGAUCUUGGGGAAUUACUUAUCCCUAAGCAUCUGUUUCCCCAUCUGAUCAGUACAGAACUUGAGACUGUAUAGAGGAUUAAUUGGAAUAAUGCAGAUAGUUAAUAAAUGUUUAUUUUUUCUCCCGAACCCUGGGGUACCUUACCACUGAGCCACAUCCCCCAUCCUUUUGAUUUUAUUUGAGGCAGGGUCUCACUAAGUUGCCCAGGCUGACAACUUGCUACUCCUGCCUCAAUCUUAGACAGGCACCACCACACCUCACUCUGCUAACUUCUUGACCAGGCCACAUCCUAAAGGGAAGGCUCAAAUUCUACUUCCUAGUCCAGUGUGGUUGGCACAGCUGCAAUCCCAGUUCCCAGAGAGGCUGAGGCAGAAGGAUCACAAGUUUGAGGUCAGCCUGGGCAAAUUAGUGAGAUUCUGUCUCAAAAAUAAUACAGAGGGCUGGGGUUGUGGCUCAGUGGUAGAGUGAUCGCCUAGUAUGUGUGAGGCACUGGGGUUCAGAUUCUCAGCACCACAUAUUAAUUAAUUAAAUAAAGGUCUAUGGACAACCAAACAAAUUUUUUAAAAAAUAA
This 1239-nucleotide long non-coding RNA is filed under the name Marmota monax (woodchuck). Lineage: Eukaryota; Metazoa; Chordata; Mammalia; Rodentia; Sciuridae. The record is from RNAcentral.